This 217-nucleotide long non-coding RNA is filed under the name Carica papaya (papaya). RNAcentral's name for it is "long non-coding RNA (CPAP_LNC000567)". The record is from RNAcentral. Lineage: Eukaryota; Viridiplantae; Streptophyta; Magnoliopsida; Brassicales; Caricaceae.
UUGAAAAUUUGGGUUCAGAUGAUGUAAGGGGAAAAGAACAGAGGAAGAAGGGGAGCGGGAAAGAGAAAGAGGAGAGGAAGGAAGGUUCUAAAAGGAGAGAGAAAGGAAGCGGAGCGGAGAGAAGAGGAGAUCGCGAACGGUGAUAGCACAUUCGGCCGAAAGAAGGAAGAUGGAAAUGGGAGGUACGGUAACAAACUUCAAAUAUGUGUGUUGAUUU